ACGGGGUUCUGGUAGCGUUUUUGGCUUUUCCAUUCUUCCUCUCUGCUUAAAAAGCGCAAACACGUAGCGGUGGAUACCCGCUGGUGGCUGAGGCCCUUGGUAUGCUACCAAUUCUUUGCCUUCCAUUAGAGAAAUCAAUAGUAUAACAUUACUUGAUCAAACUAAAAAAUAUACCACAAAAUACUUCGAAUGAAGAUUAUUAAAGCUAGGGAAUGAUUGAUCAUAAAGUGAAAUUUUUUUUUUUUUUUAAAAAAAAUAACCUUCGGAGGCAUCCCCACCCUCUGGGAUGUUCACCACAAUCCUGCAACGGCGCCAAAACAAAACAAAAAAAAAAAAAAUUGCCAAAACGAUUCCAAGUUAAAAUUCAGGUAACCGUAUCCGAGGCCAGACAAUUUUACAUGUAUAAGUUGAUAUACAAAGAAGAAGAAAAAGUGUACCAAUGAAGCCACUCUCUGAAAGUCGGAUCACUUGGACUUGGCGCAUCAGGAUCGACCAUAACCUGCAACAGAACAAGAACCGACCCUUCAAUGACUAAAUGCAUGCUACUGAAAAUUUCAACCUAAAAGAUAAAAAAAGUGAGAGAGAGAGAGAGAGAGAACAUUUGAAUCCUCAUAAACUUUUCGUAAAUUGUACUUGAUCAUUGAACUCAUGCAAAAGUUUGCAGGGUUUUUUUUCCUUUUUCUUUUUCUUUCUUUCAAUUUAUGUACUUGUAUGUGAGUAUAUACUAAUGAGCAUGUAUGAGAUGGCACACUUACAAGGGUAAAGAGACUGGCGGCACGGCCACGAGAGCCAUUUACGCGAACCGCAGGCUUGUGAGCAGAAUGGGAUGGCUUUAUCUCACAACCAUUUCCGACCUGU
Molecule: long non-coding RNA, 858 nt
Filed under: Coffea arabica (coffee)
Lineage: Eukaryota; Viridiplantae; Streptophyta; Magnoliopsida; Gentianales; Rubiaceae
Description: long non-coding RNA (CARA_LNC000975)
Source: RNAcentral